ACUGAGGCGAGGGAUUUGAAGCUGACCCGAGAGCAAUAUUUACAGGUUCCUGCGUGGUGGUGUCGUAAUGACACCGUGUGCUGGGAGCGCAUAGUGGACAAGUGGUUCGACCCCGAGUGGCAGGCUUUGCACGACGCUGGCCGGCAGCGGUGAUUGCUGAUGUCAGGUCUAGCGCACCAUCAAGGCAGCCUCAACAAUGACGAGUACAGGGCUAGAUGGUCGUCCUCACAUGAAGGCCAGGAGUGCAACCCGUUCGUGGGAUGGGCUCUGGCCCGCAAGGGCAAGGCGACAUCCAACGUCACCUACAACCCUGACGACCCGCCCUCGGCGUAUAGCAACCCGACCGUCCA
Molecule: long non-coding RNA, 350 nt
Organism: Panicum virgatum (switchgrass)
Lineage: Eukaryota; Viridiplantae; Streptophyta; Magnoliopsida; Poales; Poaceae
Exons: 3
Source: RefSeq, a predicted model, not a curated record